RNAcentral lists this unclassified non-coding RNA (391 nucleotides) under Hevea brasiliensis (rubber tree). Lineage: Eukaryota; Viridiplantae; Streptophyta; Magnoliopsida; Malpighiales; Euphorbiaceae. The record is from RNAcentral.
GAGGUGGGGAGGGAGAGACCCACUCUCCGGGUGAAAAAGACAGUUGUUCCCCUGCCCGAAAAGGGCAGAGGAAGGCCACACAGGGUAGAGGAGAAAUGGCUAAGACUACAUAAGCAAGAACGAUUUGGGAGAAAUUCUCUCUCUACAAAAUAGAGAGUGCAGGACUUCCAUUUGAAGCCGAAUGAUAGCAAACAAAAGAGGGUGAGCUUGUGAUGGUGUAUUUUUUGUAUUGAUAGUCCAAAUCAAAAGUUAUGUCGCCAAGCUUAUUUGUAUAUUCAGCAACGUGUCAGAUUAGGAGAAAUUAUAUGCUAUCACUACUAUUUCAUGUAAGCUAAUUUCCAUAAAAUGGCAAGCCAAUAGAGUAUAAAUAUAUAUAUAAAUAAAUGGACUC